Molecule: ribosomal RNA, 466 nt
Filed under: uncultured bacterium
Lineage: Bacteria
Description: partial 16S ribosomal RNA
Rfam family: Bacterial small subunit ribosomal RNA
Source: RNAcentral
GAUGAACGCUGGCGGCGUGCUUAACACAUGCAAGUCGAACGGAAAGGCUCCUGCUUGCAGGGGUACUCGAGUGGCGAACGGGUGAGUAACACGUGGGUGAUCUGCCCUGCACUUCGGGAUAAGCCUGGGAAACUGGGUCUAAUACCGGAUAGGACAAUGGUUUGGAUGCCAUUGUGGAAAGUUUUUUCGGUGUGGGAUGAGCUCGCGGCCUAUCAGCUUGUUGGUGGGGUAAUGGCCUACCAAGGCGUCGACGGGUAGCCGGCCUGAGAGGGUGUACGGCCACAUUGGGACUGAGAUACGGCCCAGACUCCUACGGGAGGCAGCAGUGGGGAAUAUUGCACAAUGGGCGCAAGCCUGAUGCAGCGACGCCGCGUGGGGGAUGACGGCCUUCGGGUUGUAAACUCCUUUCGCUAGGGACGAAGCGCAAGUGACGGUACCUGGAGAAGAAGCACCGGCUAACUACGUG